RNAcentral lists this transfer RNA (91 nucleotides) under Fibrobacter sp. RNAcentral's name for it is "tRNA-Sec". It matches the Rfam family "Selenocysteine transfer RNA". Lineage: Bacteria; Pseudomonadati; Fibrobacterota; Fibrobacteria; Fibrobacterales; Fibrobacteraceae. The record is from RNAcentral.
UAGAGAGGAAGGAUCUGGUGGUCCAACUGGUCUUCAAAACCAGUAACGGGCGGAUAAUACCGUUUGUGGCAGGUUCGAUUCCUGCUCUCUC